Molecule: ribosomal RNA, 468 nt
Filed under: uncultured bacterium
Lineage: Bacteria
Description: partial 16S ribosomal RNA
Rfam family: Bacterial small subunit ribosomal RNA
Source: RNAcentral
GACGAACGCUGGCGGCGUGCCUAACACAUGCAAGUCGAACGGAAAGGCCCUGCUUUUGUGGGGUUCUCGAGUGGCGCACGUGUGAGUAACACGUGAGUAACCUGCCCUUGACUUUGGGAUAACUUCAGGCAACUGGUGCUAAUACCUGCUAGCAGCUCCUGCUGCAUGGUGGUGUUCGGAACGUUUCGGCGGUUGGGGAUGGACUCCCGGGUUAUCAGCUUGUUGGUUGGGUAGUGGCUUACCAAGGCUUUGACGGGUAGCCGGCCUGGGAGGUGGACCGGGGACAUGGGGACUAAGGGAGGGAGCAGAGGGGUACGGGAGGCAGCAGUGGAGAGUAUGACACAAUGGGCGGGAGUGUGAGAAAACAGCGCUGCGAGCGGGAAGACGGCCUUGGGGGGGGAAAGCGCUGUAGCCUGAGACGAAGCGUGAGUGACGGUAAUGGGUAAAGAAGCACCGGCUAACUACGUG